GGUUAAGCGACUAAGCGUACACGGUGGAUGCCUUGGCAGUCAGAGGCGAUGAAGGACGUGCUAAUCUGCGAUAAGCGUCGGUAAGGUGAUAUGAACCGUUAUAACCGGCGAUUUCCGAAUGGGGAAACCCAGUGUGAUUCGUCA
Molecule: ribosomal RNA, 144 nt
Filed under: Escherichia coli
Lineage: Bacteria; Pseudomonadati; Pseudomonadota; Gammaproteobacteria; Enterobacterales; Enterobacteriaceae
Also listed under: 1 other name
Description: partial 23S ribosomal RNA
Rfam family: Bacterial large subunit ribosomal RNA
Source: RNAcentral